CACUGAGAAGCUAAUAAGGAAAUAGCAUUAGCCUUUUAAGCUAAAGAUGGUGGCCCCAAUCACCCUCAAUGA
RNAcentral lists this transfer RNA (72 nucleotides) under Crenuchus spilurus (sailfin tetra). RNAcentral describes it as "tRNA-Lys". It matches the Rfam family "tRNA". From Rfam's summary of the family: Transfer RNA (tRNA) molecules are approximately 80 nucleotides in length. Their secondary structure includes four short double-helical elements and three loops (D, anti-codon, and T loops). Lineage: Eukaryota; Metazoa; Chordata; Actinopteri; Characiformes; Crenuchidae. The record is from RNAcentral.